CACGUAGGGGGCAAGCGUUGUCCGGAUUUAUUGGGCGUAAAGAGCUCGUAGGCGGCUCAGUAAGUCAGGUGUGAAACCUCCAGGCUCAACCUGGAGACGCCACCUGAUACUGCUGUGGCUAGAGUCCGGUAGGGGAGCGUGGAAUUCCUGGUGUAGCGGUGAAAUGCGCAGAUAUCAGGAGGAACACCAGCGGCGAAGGCGGCGCUCUGGGCCGGAACUGACGCUGAGGAGCGAAAGCGUGGGGAGCAAACAGG
Molecule: ribosomal RNA, 254 nt
Filed under: uncultured bacterium
Lineage: Bacteria
Description: partial 16S ribosomal RNA
Rfam family: Bacterial small subunit ribosomal RNA
Source: RNAcentral